RNAcentral lists this unclassified non-coding RNA (254 nucleotides) under uncultured Planctomycetia bacterium. RNAcentral describes it as "contains 16S-23S intergenic spacer region". It matches the Rfam family "Bacterial small subunit ribosomal RNA", at positions 524 to 776 of the family's 1533-position model. The record is from RNAcentral. Lineage: Bacteria; Pseudomonadati; Planctomycetota; Planctomycetia.
GACGAACCGUGCGAACGUUAUUCGGAAUCACUGGGCUUAAAGCGCGUGUAGGCGGGACGGCACGUCGGUCGUUGAAAGCCCCCGGCUCAACCGGGGAACGGGCGCCGAUACGACCGUCCUGGAGGGACGUAGGGGGACCUGGAACUUCCGGUGGAGCGGUGAAAUGCGUUGAGAUCGGAAGGAACGCCCGUGGCGAAAGCGAGGUCCUGGACGUUUUCUGACGCUGAGACGCGAAAGCCAGGGGAGCAAACAGG